CCUUCCUACUGUUGCUUCCUCGGGAGUGCCCCGGGCGCCUCUGGUGCCCCGCCCCAGGCCCCGCGCCCGCCACAUGACUCUUGUUUUAUUUUUUUGUCUUCCCAUCAGUUUUUUUUUAUAAAUAAAAACUUUCUCCGACCCAUCUCUUGGUUCUGGCAAAAUGAAUCAAAACUUUCAAAAUGCGAUCUCUAAUGUGAAUUGUCGAAUUCAGUGAAUCAUCAAAUCUUUGAACGCUGUUGCGCCCGCCAGUAUUCUGGCAGGCAUGCCUGUCUGACCGUUUGUUCCCCCUCAUGCCCCUAGGGCGUGGUGUUGGGAAUCGGCUUUCAACCCUCAGGGACCUCCGGGCGGUCGAUCUUGUGGAUCACCCCUGCCUCUUCCUCUGGCCGUCUUGAUAUUCCGCAUCCGGUCUCGACGAGCCCCUGCCUGCAAACCCCCAAGUUUCCUCGGUUGACCUCCGAUCAGGGACGACUACCCUUUAAACUUCAACUUCUCAAUUGUCGAAGGAAGAUCAGGUAGGAAUACCCGCUGAACUUAAGCAUAUCAAUAAGCGGAGGAA
This 556-nucleotide ribosomal RNA is filed under the name Clonostachys rosea. RNAcentral describes it as "eukaryotic LSU rRNA". The stretch from base 127 to 280 matches the Rfam family "5.8S ribosomal RNA". The record is from RNAcentral. Lineage: Eukaryota; Fungi; Ascomycota; Sordariomycetes; Hypocreales; Bionectriaceae.